This 2928-nucleotide ribosomal RNA is filed under the name Escherichia coli. RNAcentral's name for it is "bacterial LSU rRNA". It matches the Rfam family "Bacterial large subunit ribosomal RNA". Lineage: Bacteria; Pseudomonadati; Pseudomonadota; Gammaproteobacteria; Enterobacterales; Enterobacteriaceae. The record is from RNAcentral.
GGGUUGUGAGGUUAAGCGACUAAGCGUACACGGUGGAUGCCCUGGCAGUCAGAGGCGAUGAAGGACGUGCUAAUCUGCGAUAAGCGUCGGUAAGGUGAUAUGAACCGUUAUAACCGGCGAUUUCCGAAUGGGGAAACCCAGUGUGUUUCGACACACUAUCAUUAACUGAAUCCAUAGGUUAAUGAGGCGAACCGGGGGAACUGAAACAUCUAAGUACCCCGAGGAAAAGAAAUCAACCGAGAUUCCCCCAGUAGCGGCGAGCGAACGGGGAGGAGCCCAGAGCCUGAAUCAGUGUGUGUGUUAGUGGAAGCGUCUGGAAAGGCGCGCGAUACAGGGUGACAGCCCCGUACACAAAAAUGCACAUACUGUGAGCUCGAUGAGUAGGGCGGGACACGUGGUAUCCUGUCUGAAUAUGGGGGGACCAUCCUCCAAGGCUAAAUACUCCUGACUGACCGAUAGUGAACCAGUACCGUGAGGGAAAGGCGAAAAGAACCCCGGCGAGGGGAGUGAAAAAGAACCUGAAACCGUGUACGUACAAGCAGUGGGAGCCUCUUUUAUGGGGUGACUGCGUACCUUUUGUAUAAUGGGUCAGCGACUUAUAUUCUGUAGCAAGGUUAACCGAAUAGGGGAGCCGAAGGGAAACCGAGUCUUAACUGGGCGUUAAGUUGCAGGGUAUAGACCCGAAACCCGGUGAUCUAGCCAUGGGCAGGUUGAAGGUUGGGUAACACUAACUGGAGGACCGAACCGACUAAUGUUGAAAAAUUAGCGGAUGACUUGUGGCUGGGGGUGAAAGGCCAAUCAAACCGGGAGAUAGCUGGUUCUCCCCGAAAGCUAUUUAGGUAGCGCCUCGUGAACUCAUCUCCGGGGGUAGAGCACUGUUUCGGCAAGGGGGUCAUCCCGACUUACCAACCCGAUGCAAACUGCGAAUACCGGAGAAUGUUAUCACGGGAGACACACGGCGGGUGCUAACGUCCGUCGUGAAGAGGGAAACAACCCAGACCGCCAGCUAAGGUCCCAAAGUCAUGGUUAAGUGGGAAACGAUGUGGGAAGGCCCAGACAGCCAGGAUGUUGGCUUAGAAGCAGCCAUCAUUUAAAGAAAGCGUAAUAGCUCACUGGUCGAGUCGGCCUGCGCGGAAGAUGUAACGGGGCUAAACCAUGCACCGAAGCUGCGGCAGCGACACUAUGUGUUGUUGGGUAGGGGAGCGUUCUGUAAGCCUGUGAAGGUGUGCUGUGAGGCAUGCUGGAGGUAUCAGAAGUGCGAAUGCUGACAUAAGUAACGAUAAAGCGGGUGAAAAGCCCGCUCGCCGGAAGACCAAGGGUUCCUGUCCAACGUUAAUCGGGGCAGGGUGAGUCGACCCCUAAGGCGAGGCCGAAAGGCGUAGUCGAUGGGAAACAGGUUAAUAUUCCUGUACUUGGUGUUACUGCGAAGGGGGACGGAGAAGGCUAUGUUGGCCGGGCGACGGUUGUCCCGGUUUAAGCGUGUAGGCUGGUUUUCCAGGCAAAUCCGGAAAAUCAAGGCUGAGGCGUGAUGACGAGGCACUACGGUGCUGAAGCAACAAAUGCCCUGCUUCCAGGAAAAGCCUCUAAGCAUCAGGUAACAUCAAAUCGUACCCCAAACCGACACAGGUGGUCAGGUAGAGAAUACCAAGGCGCUUGAGAGAACUCGGGUGAAGGAACUAGGCAAAAUGGUGCCGUAACUUCGGGAGAAGGCACGCUGAUAUGUAGGUGAAGUCCCUCGCGGAUGGAGCUGAAAUCAGUCGAAGAUACCAGCUGGCUGCAACUGUUUAUUAAAAACACAGCACUGUGCAAACACGAAAGUGGACGUAUACGGUGUGACGCCUGCCCGGUGCCGGAAGGUUAAUUGAUGGGGUCAGCGCAAGCGAAGCUCUUGAUCGAAGCCCCGGUAAACGGCGGCCGUAACUAUAACGGUCCUAAGGUAGCGAAAUUCCUUGUCGGGUAAGUUCCGACCUGCACGAAUGGCGUAAUGAUGGCCAGGCUGUCUCCACCCGAGACUCAGUGAAAUUGAACUCGCUGUGAAGAUGCAGUGUACCCGCGGCAAGACGGAAAGACCCCGUGAACCUUUACUAUAGCUUGACACUGAACAUUGAGCCUUGAUGUGUAGGAUAGGUGGGAGGCUUAGAAGUGUGGACGCCAGUCUGCAUGGAGCCGACCUUGAAAUACCACCCUUUAAUGUUUGAUGUUCUAACGUUGACCCGUGAUCCGGGUUGCGGACAGUGUCUGGUGGGUAGUUUGACUGGGGCGGUCUCCUCCUAAAGAGUAACGGAGGAGCACGAAGGUUGGCUAAUCCUGGUCGGACAUCAGGAGGUUAGUGCAAUGGCAUAAGCCAGCUUGACUGCGAGCGUGACGGCGCGAGCAGGUGCGAAAGCAGGUCAUAGUGAUCCGGUGGUUCUGAAUGGAAGGGCCAUCGCUCAACGGAUAAAAGGUACUCCGGGGAUAACAGGCUGAUACCGCCCAAGAGUUCAUAUCGACGGCGGUGUUUGGCACCUCGAUGUCGGCUCAUCACAUCCUGGGGCUGAAGUAGGUCCCAAGGGUAUGGCUGUUCGCCAUUUAAAGUGGUACGCGAGCUGGGUUUAGAACGUCGUGAGACAGUUCGGUCCCUAUCUGCCGUGGGCGCUGGAGAACUGAGGGGGGCUGCUCCUAGUACGAGAGGACCGGAGUGGACGCAUCACUGGUGUUCGGGUUGUCAUGCCAAUGGCACUGCCCGGUAGCUAAAUGCGGAAGAGAUAAGUGCUGAAAGCAUCUAAGCACGAAACUUGCCCCGAGAUGAGUUCUCCCUGACUCCUUGAGAGUCCUGAAGGAACGUUGAAGACGACGACGUUGAUAGGCCGGGUGUGUAAGCGCAGCGAUGCGUUGAGCUAACCGGUACUAAUGAACCGUGAGGCUUAACCUUACAACGCCGAAGCUGUU